CCGGAUGCCAUAACGGGUCCGGUUGGACAGAGGGCGUCGGCUCUUGGUUCCCGGCGCCUCUCAUGCCCAGAUUGCUCAACAAGGAGGAUUUGGAAAUGAGAA
This is a regulatory RNA element of Croceicoccus naphthovorans, 102 nucleotides long. It matches the Rfam family "Repression of heat shock gene expression (ROSE) element". Rfam says of the family: This family represents a 5' UTR cis-regulatory element found in heat shock mRNAs and is known as the ROSE (repression of heat shock gene expression) element. The ROSE element is a negative regulator of heat shock gene expression. NCBI's taxonomy places the organism in Bacteria, Pseudomonadati, Pseudomonadota, Alphaproteobacteria, Sphingomonadales, Erythrobacteraceae. The record is from Rfam.